GCCAAGGCUUGCUGCCCACUUUGCCGCCAUCCUCUGACAGAGUCUGAUCUAUUUAUCUGCCCACCUGAAGCAUCUAAUGCUGCAAAUAGUGGAAGUUCAUCCACUGCAUCAUCCAAAGUGAUUGCACUCCUAAAACUUCUUGUUGCAUCAAGAGAUGAAAGCCCUGGCAGAAAAUCAAUUGUGUUCUCUCAAUUCAGGAAGUUGUUGCUCCUACUUGAAGAGCCGCUUAA
This 230-nucleotide unclassified non-coding RNA is filed under the name Hevea brasiliensis (rubber tree). Lineage: Eukaryota; Viridiplantae; Streptophyta; Magnoliopsida; Malpighiales; Euphorbiaceae. The record is from RNAcentral.